GAACUCGCUGUGAAGAUGCAGUGUACCCGCGGCAAGACGGAAAGACCCCGUGAACCUUUACUAUAGCUUGACACUGAACAUUGAGCCUUGAUGUGUAGGAUAGGUGGGAGGCUUUGAAGCGUGGACGCCAGUCUGCGUGGAGCCGACCUUGAAAUACCACCCUUUAAUGUUUGAUGUUCUAACGUGGACCCGUUACCCGGGUUGCGGACAGUGUCUGGUGGGUAGUUUGACUGGGGCGGUCUCCUCCUAAAGAGUAACGGAGGAGCACGAAGGUUGGCUAAUCCUGGUCGGACAUCAGGAGGUUAGUGCAAUGGCAUAAGCCAGCUUGACUGCGAGCGUGACGGCGCGAGCAGGUGCGAAAGCAGGUCAUAGUGAUCCGGUGGUUCUGAAUGGAAGGGCCAUCGCUCAACGGAUAAAAGGUACUCCGGGGAUAACAGGCUGAUACCGCCCAAGAGUUCAUAUCGACGGCGGUGUUUGGCACCUCGAUGUCGGCUCAUCACAUCCUGGGGCUGAAGUAGGUCCCAAGGGUAUGGCUGUUCGCCAUUUAAAGUGGUACGCGAGCUGGGUUUAGAACGUCGUGAGACAGUUCGGUCCCUAUCUGCCGUGGGCGCUGGAGAACUGAGGGGGGCUGCUCCUAGUACGAGAGGACCGGAGUGGACGCAUCACUGGUGUUCGGGUUGUCAUGCCAAUGGCACUGCCCGGUAGCUAAAUGCGGAAGAGAUAAGUGCUGAAAGCAUCUAAGCACGAAACUUGCCCCGA
This 759-nucleotide ribosomal RNA is filed under the name Salmonella enterica. Its description in RNAcentral is "partial 23S ribosomal RNA". It matches the Rfam family "Bacterial large subunit ribosomal RNA", at positions 2044 to 2802 of the family's 2925-position model. Lineage: Bacteria; Pseudomonadati; Pseudomonadota; Gammaproteobacteria; Enterobacterales; Enterobacteriaceae. The record is from RNAcentral. RNAcentral also lists the same sequence under 1 other name.